UGUAGCUCAGCAUGUGAAUUUUGUUCCUUAAUAUUCUCAGCACUUUCAGUCUAAUCAGUUUUCAGGAGGAAGAGAUUAUGGUAGAGGCUAAUAGAAAACAAGCCUAUUUACAUGUGGUAAGUCAAGCCAUACUGCAGUUCUCUCAACCUAAUAUGGUUGUUCAAGCAUGCAAUGUCUCACCAGCUAUGAUUUCACAUCAAGUUUCUCCAGCUCAAGCUGAAUUGAGCUGUUGAUAAACUGAAGCUGGUACUGCUGGUUUACUGAAGUGAAGUUCCUAUCUUGAGUUUGUGUAGUAGUUGAGGAUUAACAGUUCAGAUUGACACACUGAAGGUUAUGAAGAUGUGAUCUGAAAUGCAGUGAAGUUGAGAUCUACUGCAAAUAUGAUCUGAAGUGUAGUGAAGUUGGAGUUUCAAUUCAUUUUACUGCAGAGUGAUGGGAUUUUUUUAUUGCCGAGUCAAAGUUUUUUUUUACAAGCUCAAACUGCAGGGCAGUUUAGCUUGAGGAGGGAUGUUGACUAUGAAAGACAAAUGCUGGAAGCUGAAAGAAGUAAAAUGUCACAACUAUCCUUCACUUACUUAAAGUGAUACUUAAUACGCUGUCGUUUUUUACUAGUGUGUUUUAAGUAGUUAGCCCAAGUCAACUGCUUCUCUUUACUUUAGUCUUCGACUUACUCUACUGUACACAUAUAAAACAUUGAUGAAGUGCCCAGCUGUAAUCAAUCAAGAAAUCAAAGA
Molecule: long non-coding RNA, 734 nt
Organism: Pistacia vera
Lineage: Eukaryota; Viridiplantae; Streptophyta; Magnoliopsida; Sapindales; Anacardiaceae
Exons: 3
Source: RefSeq, a predicted model, not a curated record